GCCCACCCCGGAAGAGGACCAGGCACCGCCGCGCCCAUCCCGGAAAGGACUGGGUCCGGCUCCCCCCACCCCGGGUUAGCCGCCGGGAAGCGGCGGCUCCGCCUCCGCCUGGCCAGUCGGCGCCCGCCGGAGCGCUGGGGGAGGGGAGGGGCGCCGGGGGGACGGCGUCGGUGCCCGGGCCGCGGGGAGGGGUGUUCUCUCCCGCCCCGGGGAGGGACGCCCCCUUAUCUGAGCAGAUCGCGGACGUGGUAUGAACCCGGGCGCGGGAAGGCUCUGGGAGCCGGAGUUCACGGUAUGAGCAUCUUCAGUUAAACUAGAAAUACCAUUUUAGAAAAAUAUAUUUACUCUCUAUCUACACUCCAAAGAGCAACUGAAACAACCAAGAUUCUUCAAUGUAUCUUCAAAAUUAAACACUUUUCCUUAGUGGUA
Long non-coding RNA from Myotis myotis, 429 nucleotides. RefSeq lists it as uncharacterized. Lineage: Eukaryota; Metazoa; Chordata; Mammalia; Chiroptera; Vespertilionidae. The transcript is spliced from 2 exons. The record is from RefSeq and is a predicted model, not a curated record.